This 253-nucleotide ribosomal RNA is filed under the name uncultured bacterium. Its description in RNAcentral is "partial 16S ribosomal RNA". It matches the Rfam family "Bacterial small subunit ribosomal RNA", at positions 524 to 776 of the family's 1533-position model. The record is from RNAcentral.
GACGAACCGUGCGAACGUUAUUCGGAAUCACUGGGCUUAAAGGGCGCGUAGGCGGGCGCACAAGUCAGGGGUGAAAGCCCACGGCUCAACCGUGGAAGAGCCUUUGAUACUGUGUGUCUGGAGGGAGGUAGGGGCGUGCGGAACUUCCGGUGGAGCGGUGAAAUGCGUAGAUAUCGGAAGGAACACCGGUGGCGAAAGCGGCGCGCUGGACCUCUUCUGACGCUGAGGCGCGAAAGCCAGGGGAGCAAACGGG